Long non-coding RNA from Eriocheir sinensis (Chinese mitten crab), 512 nucleotides. RefSeq lists it as uncharacterized. The record is from RefSeq and is a predicted model, not a curated record. NCBI's taxonomy places the organism in Eukaryota, Metazoa, Arthropoda, Malacostraca, Decapoda, Varunidae. The transcript has 4 exons.
UGGAGGGAAGGGAAUUAAGAGCAAGAAGACCACGUCAGGUUGCUGCCUUGGCCGGCAGGAAACAAGAGUGUGUAAAGAAAGCUGCUGACUCCUUAAGAGAGCUUUGCUUAUGAAGCUGAACUCAAAACUCACUGAGGCACUAACAGAAACACCAAUUAUGCCAUGACAAGGUGACCACUGGUAACUCACUGAGACACUAACAGAAACACCAAUUAUGCCAUGACAAGGUGACCACUGGUAACUCAUUGAGACACUAACAGAAACACCAAUUAUGCCAUGACAAGGUGACCACUGGUAACUCACUGAGACACUAACAGAAACACCAAUUAUGCCAUGACAAGGUGACCACUGGUAACUCACUGAGACACUAACAGAAACACCAAUUAUGCCAUGACAAGGUGACCACUGGUAACUCACUGAGACACUAACAGAAACACCAAUUAUGUCAUGACAAGGUGACCACUGGUAACUCACUGAGGCACUAACAGAAACACCAAUUAUGCCAUGACAAG